Myotis davidii is the source of this 75-nucleotide non-coding RNA. NCBI's taxonomy places the organism in Eukaryota, Metazoa, Chordata, Mammalia, Chiroptera, Vespertilionidae. The record is from Rfam.
GGCAGUUCUCCAGUGACACACCCAGAAUCUGACUCCCUCCUCUCUGGUUCCGGGGUGCGUCACCUGAGAACCACC